Molecule: long non-coding RNA, 828 nt
Organism: Notolabrus celidotus (New Zealand spotty)
Lineage: Eukaryota; Metazoa; Chordata; Actinopteri; Labriformes; Labridae
Exons: 3
Source: RefSeq, a predicted model, not a curated record
CCCCUCUCCUGAUGCAACGGUCCAGAAAGGCUCCCCACGAAUCAAGUCCACAAAACGAUAUAAUCCAAACAUAUAAUCCACAAUGGGUGUGUCCUGGAUCCUUAUUCUGCCCCAGGUACACAGUCUCAGUGACAGUAGGUGCACCUGGUGAUGGGAAUUCAGGCUUUUUUUUAGGGAUUCGAUCAUUUGGCUUAGCAGUUACCGACUCUUUCGACUCUCAAACGGCUCUUUGUGGAAUCGUUCAUUUACAAGAGCUGGCUUUUAGAGUCGAGUCGUUCGAAGCCCCCACAUGAACCAGCUCCCCUCCUCAGGUGCUGCCUCCUCCUCCAUGAAGUGAUGACAGGCUUAUUUAAAGUGCAGAAACCCGAGGAGUGAUGAGAUAACAUCUUAAACCACCUAGCCGGAGCCUGCAGGUGGAUGCUGGGGAGGUGGUGGGACUGUGAGUUUGAGUGCAGCACUGGCGCAGGGCAGUGGAGGCAAAGACAGACUGGACAUUGCAGCUUAUAUUGAGCUUUUGUCAGGUUAUGAAAACAAAGAGUGAGGGAGCUGGAGUCUGAGGACGUGCUGAGAGGAACAGUCGGUGGAAUCAUGAUUCAUCCAUUCUGCAGGGGCUCCUCCUCGUACGUCGGCGUUGGACCAACCAUCUGUCCUCACCGCCUGCCAUGCCAGAGGCCCUUUCGUAUUGUCUUAGCAUGACACUGCACUCGGCAUGCCAGCACUGGAAACCGCACCACAUCGACGUUUGCAGAGAAAUGAUAUGACACCCUCAGAUGAAGACAGACUGACAAGGAAGAGUGUAAAACAGAUAAAGGCAGGAUUUUUGUGUCA